Molecule: ribosomal RNA, 402 nt
Filed under: uncultured bacterium
Lineage: Bacteria
Description: bacterial SSU rRNA
Rfam family: Bacterial small subunit ribosomal RNA
Source: RNAcentral
UGGGGAAUAUUGCACAAUGGGGGUAACCCUGAUGCAGCGACGCCGCGUGAGCGAAGAAGUAUUUCGGUAUGUAAAGCUCUAUCAGCAGGGAAGAAACUGACGGUACCUGACUAAGAAGCACCGGCUAAAUACGUGCCAGCAGCCGCGGUAAUACGUAUGGUGCAAGCGUUAUCCGGAUUUACUGGGUGUAAAGGGAGCGUAGACGGAUAGGCAAGUCUGGAGUGAAAGCCCGGGGCUCAACCCCGGGACUGCUUUGGAAACUGUUUAUCUAGAGUGCUGGAGAGGUAAGUGGAAUUCCUAGUGUAGCGGUGAAAUGCGUAGAUAUUAGGAGGAACACCAGUGGCGAAGGCGGCUUACUGGACAGUAACUGACGUUGAGGCUCGAAAGCGUGGGGAGCAAACA